CCUACGGGAGGCAGCAGUGAGGAAUAUUGGUCAAUGGACGCAAGUCUGAACCAGCCAUGCCGCGUGCAGGAAGACGGCUCUAUGAGUUGUAAACUGCUUUUGUCCGGGGGUAAACGCAGAUACGCGUAUCUGUCUGAAAGUAUCGUACGAAUAAGGAUCGGCUAACUCCGUGCCAGCAGCCGCGGUAAUACGGAGGAUUCAAGCGUUAUCCGGAUUUAUUGGGUUUAAAGGGUGCGUAGGCGGUUGGUUAAGUUAGAGGUGAAAUCCCGAGGCUCAACUGCGGAAUUGCCACUGAUACUGUUAGGCUAGAGAGUAGUUGAGGUAGGCGGAAUGUAUGGUGUAGCGGUGAAAUGCUUAGAGAUCAUACAGAACACCGAUUGCGAAGGCAGCUUACCAAGCUACUUCUGACGUUGAGGCACGAAAGCGUGGGGAGCAAACAGGAUUAGAUACCCCAGUAGUC
RNAcentral lists this ribosomal RNA (460 nucleotides) under uncultured bacterium. Its description in RNAcentral is "partial 16S ribosomal RNA". It matches the Rfam family "Bacterial small subunit ribosomal RNA", at positions 338 to 795 of the family's 1533-position model. The record is from RNAcentral.